GGCGACCGGCGCACGGGUGAGUAACGCGUAUGUAACCUACCCUGUACAGGGGGAUAGCCCGGAGAAAUUCGGAUUAAUACCCCAUAAUGAUAUCUGGAGGCAUCUUUAUAUAUUUAAAGUUUCGGCGGUACAGGAAGGGCAUGCGUGACAUUAGCUAGUUGGUAGGGUAACGGCCUACCAAGGCUGCGAUGUCUAGGGGUCCUGAGAGGGUGAUCCCCCACACUGGUACUGAGACACGGACCAGACUCCUACGGGAGGCAGCAGUGAGGAAUAUUGGUCAAUGGACGGAAGUCUGAACCAGCCAUCCCGCGUGCAGGAAGACGGCGCUAUGCGUUGUAAACUGCUUUUCCAGGGGAAGAAAUCAUUCUACGUGUAGGAUGUUGCCGGUACCUUGGGAAUAAGCAUCGGCUAACUCCGUGCCAGCAGCCGCGGUAAUACGGAGGAUGCGAGCGUUAUCCGGAUUCAUUGGGUUUAAAGGGUGCGUAGGCGGACUGAUAAGUCAGCGGUGAAAACCUGCAGCUUAACUGUAGAAUUGCCAUUGAUACUGUCGGUCUUGAGUUCGGUUAAGGUAGGCGGAAUGUGUAAUGUAGCGGUGAAAUGCUUAGAUAUUACACAGAACACCGAUUGCGAAGGCAGCUUGCUGGACCGAUACUGACGCUGAUGCACGAAAGCGUGGGGAGCGAACAGGAUUAGAUACCCUGGUAGUCCACGCCGUAAACUAUGAUGACUGGUUGUUAGCGAUAUACCGUUAGCGGCUAAGCAAAAGCAUUAAGUGAUCCACCUGGGGAGUACGGCCGCAACGAUGAAACUCAAAGGAAUUGACGGGGGCCCGCACAAGCGG
RNAcentral lists this ribosomal RNA (841 nucleotides) under uncultured bacterium. Its description in RNAcentral is "bacterial SSU rRNA". It matches the Rfam family "Bacterial small subunit ribosomal RNA", at positions 90 to 932 of the family's 1533-position model. The record is from RNAcentral.